This 938-nucleotide long non-coding RNA is filed under the name Androctonus crassicauda. Lineage: Eukaryota; Metazoa; Arthropoda; Arachnida; Scorpiones; Buthidae. The record is from RNAcentral.
GGAUUUUAAAAGUCUGUUAAUGUCAAUAGGUGGGAGGUCAUGGGUGGGCUGCCUGGUGGUGACCUUCGAAUGAGUUGAUUAUGCAAAUGAGAACAGUUGCAAAUCCUAUCUCAUAAACUGUGUCUGAUAAGGAAAAUUUUUCAAUUAUAAACUUGUUCGGCAUUCAAUUCUGAACAUACUAAAAAACCUUCAUCAAAAUUGGAUGAAUUCUUCUCCAAAAACGAAACAAAAGCAUUUUUACAAGCAAAUCAUGUCACAUACCUUUCCACAUCUGGUACAGGAAAUUUCUGGAAGUUUCCACAACAGCAUCAUUUUUCUGUUUAAUUUGUAUAAAAAGCUUCUUGCACAUAUGUGCAAUUCAAUGUACUUGUGCAAUACAAUGGAUGAAUAUAUACUUAAUGAAAUGACUGCCAUGAUCGUAUUCUAUGUACUACUAAUGUGAAUGUUGCUGCUGCAGCUCAAUUUUAUUAGAAAAGAUAUCUGUCAACAUGAACACUCAGAUCUAUCAUACAUUAAUUCCUUGAAACACCCAAGAUCAGAUCACCCACAAAAUAGCAACUGAUGAGCCACAACUGCUUUCAUUCUUGCAUAAUAACAAUAGAGGAUCUUGAAGAUCCCAUCAUUACUGCUUAUACAGAGAAUUUUACUGACACACUAAUGGCUGUAAGGAUCUCCACCCAACACCACACUCAACUGUACUUGGGUACUGGUGGAAGACAUUUUGAGCACAUCCUUGAUUAGUUUUUGCUUGUUUAUUAGGCUCUGUGUUUUCAAUUUAUUGGUUUGGAGUGUUAUGUUUUGGAGUUUUUUUGUUAUUUACAUAUCAGAAAUAAUUGUUAACCCUUUGCAUUGUAAAAAUAUUUUCUUUUGUUUUUGUGUGAACUAUUCAUUUGAUUUCGAUGAAGUUUCCUUUUACAAUGUUCAGAUUUGAAUGCUGG